Pan troglodytes (chimpanzee) is the source of this 147-nucleotide non-coding RNA. It matches the Rfam family "Metazoan signal recognition particle RNA". From Rfam's summary of the family: The signal recognition particle (SRP) is a universally conserved ribonucleoprotein. It is involved in the co-translational targeting of proteins to membranes. The eukaryotic SRP consists of a 300-nucleotide 7S RNA and six proteins: SRPs 72, 68, 54, 19, 14, and 9. NCBI's taxonomy places the organism in Eukaryota, Metazoa, Chordata, Mammalia, Primates, Hominidae. The record is from Rfam.
GCUGGGCACGGUGGCGCAUGCCUGUAAUCCCAGCUACUCGGAAGCUGAGGCAGGAGAAUCGCUUGAACCUAGGAGGCAGAGGUUGUAGUGAGCAGAGAUCGCACCACUGCACUCCAGCCUGGGUGACAGAGCAAGACUCUGUCUCAA